Molecule: microRNA precursor, 95 nt
Filed under: Nicotiana sylvestris (wood tobacco)
Lineage: Eukaryota; Viridiplantae; Streptophyta; Magnoliopsida; Solanales; Solanaceae
Description: MIR6152 microRNA precursor family
Rfam family: MIR6152 microRNA precursor family
Source: Rfam by way of RNAcentral
UAGACAUAUUAUUGUAUUCGACUGUAUUCACGGAGUGAAAUAAGGGAUUACACUACUUUAAAUGGAAAGUGUAUCAAUUAACAUAAUAGACUCCU